UGAUGGAGCAGUGAUGGUAUCUUACCAGAAAGCCACGGCUAACUACGCGCCAGCAGCCGCGGUAAUACGUAGGUGGCGAGCGUUAUCCGGAAUCAUUGGGCGUAAAGGGUGCGUAGGUGGCACGAUAAGUCUGUAGUAAAAGGCAGCGGCUCAACCGCUGUUGGCUAUGGAAACGGUCGAGCUGGAGUGCAGAAGAGGGCGAUGGAAUUCCAUGUGUAGCGGUAAAAUGCGUAGAUAUAUGGAGGAACACCAGUGGCGAAGGCGGCCGCCUGGUCUGCAACUGACACUGAAGCACGAAAGCGUGGGGAGCAAAUAGGAUUAGAUACCCUAGUAGUCCACGCCGUAAACGAUGAGAACUAAGUGUUGGGGAAACUCAGUGCUGCAGUUAACGCAAUAAGUUCUCCGCCUGGGGAGUAUGCACGCAAGUGUGAAACUCAAAGGAAUUGACGGGGGCCCGCACAAGCGGUGGAGUAUGUGGUUUAAUUCGAAGCAACGCGAAGAACCUUACCAGGCCUUGACAUGGAGAUAAAGGCCCUGGAGACAGGGAGAUAGAUAUAACUCACACAGGUGGUGCAUGGUUGUCGUCAGCUCGUGUCGUGAGAUGUUGGGUUAAGUCCCGCAACGAGCGCAACCCUUGUUUCAUGUUACCAGUAUUAAGUUAGGGACUCGUGAGAGACUGCCGGUGACAAACCGGAGGAAGGUGGGGAUGACGUCAAAUCAUCAUGCCCCUUAUGGCCUGGGCUACACACGUACUACAAUGGCGGAUACAAAGGGCAGCGAGUCUGUGAAGNNNAGCGAAUCCCGGAAAGGCCGUCUCAGUUCGGAUUGAAGUCUGCAACUCGACUGCAUGAAGGUGGAAUCGCUA
RNAcentral lists this ribosomal RNA (865 nucleotides) under uncultured bacterium. Its description in RNAcentral is "bacterial SSU rRNA". It matches the Rfam family "Bacterial small subunit ribosomal RNA", at positions 459 to 1337 of the family's 1533-position model. The record is from RNAcentral.